Molecule: ribosomal RNA, 587 nt
Filed under: uncultured bacterium
Lineage: Bacteria
Description: partial 16S ribosomal RNA
Rfam family: Bacterial small subunit ribosomal RNA
Source: RNAcentral
UGGGGAAUUUUGGACAAUGGGCGAAAGCCUGAUCCAGCAAUGCCGCGUGUGUGAAGAAGGCCUUCGGGUUGUAAAGCACUUUUGUCCGGAAAGAAAUCCUUGGCUCUAAUACAGUCGGGGGAUGACGGUACCGGAAGAAUAAGCACCGGCUAACUACGUGCCAGCAGCCGCGGUAAUACGUAGGGUGCAAGCGUUAAUCGGAAUUACUGGGCGUAAAGCGUGCGCAGGCGGUUUGCUAAGACCGAUGUGAAAUCCCCGGGGCUCAACCUGGGAACUGCACUGGUGACUGGCAGGCUAGAGUAUGGCAGAGGGGGGUAGAAUUCCACGUGUAGCAGUGAAAUGCGUAGAGAUGUGGAGGAAUACCGAUGGCGAAGGCAGCCCCCUGGGCCAAUACUGACGCUCAUGCACGAAAGCGUGGGGAGCAAACAGGAUUAGAUACCCUGGUAGUCCACGCCCUAAACGAUGUCAACUAGUUGUUGGGGACUUCAUUUCCUUAGUAACGUAGCUAACGCGUGAAGUUGACCGCCUGGGGAGUACGGUCGCAAGAUUAAAACUCAAAUGAAUUGACGGGGUCAUAGCUGUUUCCU